Molecule: long non-coding RNA, 1603 nt
Organism: Zeugodacus cucurbitae (melon fly)
Lineage: Eukaryota; Metazoa; Arthropoda; Insecta; Diptera; Tephritidae
Exons: 2
Source: RefSeq, a predicted model, not a curated record
UCAGAUUGAAAAUCAUUCCAUAAUAUAUAAUUUAGAUAUAAAAUGGUUAAAAGCAUUUCAGGUUAAAUGCAUUCCAGUUGCAUUUCUUUUGUUCCGAUAGUCAAGAAGUAAAAACUGCAUGAAAUUCAUAAUUCUAUUAUCAUUUCGUACUAUAGAAAAUGUUUGUUGUGUUUCUCGUUUGAUGAUAUUUAAGAAUUAAUACAGUUACUACUUUUUUAAACGUCUUUACUGGCCUUGUUGUUAAAUAAUUCCAUAUUAUAUCAAAAUAAACAACAUAAAUAUUAUGAUGGAAAAAAAUGUCCCGUGCGAAUGUGAUUAAUAUUUAAUAAAAAAAACUAUAAAUUAUUUUUGGGAGAAAUUCAUACAAAUUUUAAAGACAUCAAUGCACAACAUUCUACAAUCAAAAACAUUUGAAUAUUGCCUCACAAUUCGCUGAAAUCGCCGUUUGAAUUGUUAUCCUCAAAACGACUUCCAUUUUUUGUCCCGUGCGAAUGCCUUGCCGUUCCAAAAUCAACCUUAACACUUUAUGUAGGACGCAGUCUCGCCGAUCCACUGGGCUUAGCAAUGUGGUGACCAAUUUACCCCCCACACCUUUUUUCUUUUAAUGUCGAUCUAAGAUCACGCAUCAGACAGCCAACAAACUGUAAAAAAUAUACCUAAAAAUAGAAAAUUAUACUUACCGUAUUAUACUUACCUUUUUGCUGUAAUCAAAACCUAUAAAAAUUAAAGAAAGUAAAAAAUUAAAAUAUGGAUAUAUUAAUAUUAAAUAAACAUUAAAUUUGCGGAGUUUAUUGCCCUGAACACAUAGACGACGACAGGAGACGAGCAACAUCUGUCAAAUAUUAAAAUACACGCGUUCUUAUGGCAGCUUUUCGACAACAACACGACUUCGCGACAGCUGACUUGAAGUUGUCGCUGUCGCCAAAUUACAUAUGUUUCUAAUUUUGCCAACGGCAAUGGUCACUGUAGAGCUGACACUAAUAUGGUAUAAUUCCUAACAAGUAUGACGUAAUUUUGCCAGCAGAAGCGUAAAAUAACUUUGAUAUGUAUAUCAUUUGUAAUAACAAUCAAUUAUUUAAAACAAAUAAAUCGUCCUAUAUAUAGUUUUUUGGCACAAAAAAAAUCACUUUGAACACAAUAUGUAGUAUGUAGUAUGUUUUAGUACGGCAACAAUGAAACGCUGGCUUCAAAGCGACAUUUGUAGCCAAGAAAAUUUCGUGUCGUGAAGUCGUCUUUGUGUUCAGAGCAUAACUCAUGAUUCAAUUAUAAAAGGUUUGGUAAGUAGUGACAGCAAAGUUUUGACACUGCGUUACUAAAGGUUGUAUUUGCGAAGGAAGGAAAAAAGGAUGAGUCAAGGGCUGUGGUUUAAUAUAAAAUUAAUAUCUAAAAAAGAAAUCUAUUACCGACCAUUAAAAGAAAUUAUCCAACGGGCUAAAAUGACCAUCCAGUUGUGAAGACCAUAAUCAUAUUCCACUGAGAGUCGUUUUCAAAUACAUGAAAGUUAUAACUACUAAAGUAUCAGUAAACUGACUAGAUUUUGUUCUAAAAUCAAUACGAAUACUUUAACAACCAAAUUGUGUAAAUAAAUGAAUAUGAAUUAAAA